RNAcentral lists this transfer RNA (71 nucleotides) under Candidatus Microgenomates bacterium. RNAcentral describes it as "tRNA-Gly". It matches the Rfam family "tRNA". From Rfam's summary of the family: Transfer RNA (tRNA) molecules are approximately 80 nucleotides in length. Their secondary structure includes four short double-helical elements and three loops (D, anti-codon, and T loops). The record is from RNAcentral. Lineage: Bacteria; Candidatus Microgenomatota.
GCGGGAUUAGUUGAUCGGCUCAACGAAAGCUUUCCAAGCUUUAAAGAGGGGUUCGACUCCCCUAUCCCGCU